Picea glauca (white spruce) is the source of this 1437-nucleotide non-coding RNA. NCBI's taxonomy places the organism in Eukaryota, Viridiplantae, Streptophyta, Pinopsida, Pinales, Pinaceae. The record is from Rfam.
GUUUCCAAGUCUCAACAAGUGGAGAAACCACCCAAGUGUGGGGAAUUCAGGGUUUUCGAGUCUCGACCAUGGGAGAAACUACCCAAGUGUGGGGAAUUCAGGGUUUCCUAGUCUCGAUGAGCGAAGAAACCAGCCCAAGUGCGAGGAAUUCAGGGUUUCCAAGUCUCGACCAUGGGAGAAACCACCCAAGUGUGGGGAAUUCAGGGUUUCCAAGUCUCGAUGACUGGAGAAACCACUGAAGUGCGGGGAAUUUUUGGUUUCCAUUGUGGCAGUCGAGGAGCGAAGUGUGGGCCCUUGGGGUGGGCCACUGUGCACCUCCAUGCUCGUGGUGUUGGUUAGUGGGCUUUCCAUUCAACCAGUCUUGAAACACGGACCAAGGAGUCUAACAUGUGUGCGAUUCGGUGGGUUUGUAAACCUGUGAGGUGUAAGGAAGCUGAUGAGAAAUAACCCCUCUCCAUGGGGUGCAUUGUCAACCGGCCUUGAGCUUGUGUGAAAGGUUUGAAUGCAAGCACACCUAUUGGGACCCGAAAGAUGGUGAACUAUUCCUGAGCAGGGCAAAGCCAGAGGAAACUUUGGUGGAGGCCCGUAGCAAUACUAACGUGCAAUCAUUCGUCUGACUUGGGUAUAGGUGCGAAAGACUAAUAGAACCAUCUAGUAGCUAGUUUCCUCCGAAGUUUUUCUCGGGAUAGCUGGAGCUCACGUGCGAGUUUUAUCGGGUAAAGAAAAUGAUUAGAGGCAUCAGUGGCAUAACGCCCUUGACCUAUUCUCAAACUUUAAAUAGGUAAGACAGUGUGGCUGCUCCAUUGAGCCGUGCCACGGAAUCGAGAGCUCCAAGUGGGCUAUUUUUGGUAAGUAGAACUGGUGAUGCGGGAUGAACCAAAAGUCUAGUUAUGGUGCCAAACUGUGCGCUAACCCAGAUCCCACAAAGGUUGUUGGUUGAUUUAGACAGUAGGACGGUGGUCAUGGAAGUCAAAAUCCACUGAGUGUUUAAAAACUCACUUGCCGAAUCAACUAGCCCAGAAAAUGGAUGGGGCUGAAGCACACGACCUAUACUCGACCAUCGGAGCAAUUGUCAGGCUUCAAUGAGUAGGAGGAUGCAGGGGUCAUUGAGAAAACUUGGGCAUGAUCCUGGGUCGACCGGUCCCUAGUGCAGAUCUUGGUGGUAGUAGCAAAUAUUCAAAUGAGAACUUUGAAGACUGAAGUGGGGAAAGGUUCCUUGUGAACAACACUUGGACAUGGGUUAGUCGAUCCUAAGAGAUGGGGAAGCCCUGUAUCAAGGGUGCACUAUGCACGAACAUCAAAAGGGAAUCAGGUUAAUAUUCCUGAACUGGGACAUGGCGGCGGACGACAACGUUAGGAAAUCCGGAGACGUCGUCGGGGGCCCCGGGAAGAGUUAUCUUUUAUUUUUAACAGCUUGCCCACCCUGAAAUCGGCUCA